This 460-nucleotide ribosomal RNA is filed under the name uncultured bacterium. Its description in RNAcentral is "partial 16S ribosomal RNA". It matches the Rfam family "Bacterial small subunit ribosomal RNA", at positions 338 to 795 of the family's 1533-position model. The record is from RNAcentral.
CCUACGGGAGACAGCAGUGAGGAAUAUUGGUCAAUGGACGCAAGUCUGAACCAGCCAAGUAGCGUGAAGGAUGACUGCCCUACGGGUUGUAAACUUCUUUUAUAAAGGAAUAAAGUGGGGCACGUGUGCCUUGUUGUAUGUACUUUAUGAAUAAGGAUCGGCUAACUCCGUGCCAGCAGCCGCGGUAAUACGGAGGAUCCAAGCGUUAGCCGGAUUUAUUGGGUUUAAAGGGAGCGUAGGUGGGUUGUUAAGUGAGUUGUGAAAGUUUGCGGCUCAACCGGAAAAUUGCAAUUGAUACUGGCAGUCUUGAGUACAGUUGGGGUAGGCGGAAUUCGUGGUGUAGCGGUGAAAUGCUUAGAUAUCAUGAAGAACUCCGAUUGCGAAGGCAGCUUACCAAACUGCCACUGACAUUGAUGCUCGAAAGUGUGGGUAUCAAACAGGAUUAGAUACCCUUGUAGUC